RNAcentral lists this long non-coding RNA (5026 nucleotides) under Triticum aestivum (bread wheat). RNAcentral describes it as "long non-coding RNA (TAES_LNC025492)". The record is from RNAcentral. Lineage: Eukaryota; Viridiplantae; Streptophyta; Magnoliopsida; Poales; Poaceae.
CUUCACCUUCCUUUGCCCUGCUGCUUCUUCCCUCUCCUCAAAUCCUGCUGCUGCUGCUAGACUUCUUCCCUGAACCUCAACUGCUAAUGCGCCCGUUCUGCUUCUCCUCUUGCUGCUGCUUGUGCGCUGCAGCUGCAUCUUCUUCUCCUGCCUACUACUGCUUCUUCUUCCCCACGUCACUUCUGCUGCUCCUGCUCUUCUCUGCCUCGCUACUGUUCUUCUUACCUGAAUCUCAAAACUGUUGCUGCUCUCUUUCUUUCUCUUUCUCUCACUCUUUCUAUGUGCGUGUGUUUGUGUGUGUGUGUAGUUGCUGAUAGUUAUUAGUGGAUGCUAGAUCAAUUACAUUCAAAUUAGUAUUAGCUCUCUAUGUGUCUGUAUGUCAGUUAGUGUACUUUUCUGUUCUGAAAAGGUGAAACUUGUGUACUGUUCUGAACACCCAAUUUGUGUUUUUUAUGUAUUAGUUUCUGCAAUAUAUGUGAAACUGUGAGUUGUUGAGCUGAUCAUUUUUGAUUAGACUUGUACCGUCAUACAUUGUGAGUCAUAUAUAUAUAUAAAUUCGGUCAAUUCUAGUAACUGUGGUGUUCCAUAUUUGUGAAUCUCCUGUACAGAUGAGUUCCAUUGCUAUAGAACUCAAUGCUGCUCUACAUCAUCUUAAAUGUUUGCUUGUGAACCAUGUACUAUAAUCUUUCUAUCCCAUAUCCUUUAUGCUUGCCUGUGUUAGUAUUUUAAUUUCUCUAGCAAAACGAAACUACUAAAAAGAUAGAGAGUAUAAUCUGAACCUUCCUUUUCUUCUUUUCAUUUUCUUUUGUCGAUGAUUUUUCCCGAAUGAUCUUAGUUAGUCUAGAGUUAAUAUUCUGCUUUCAUCACCCAAUAUUGUGUUACCUAGAUUUAGCCGAGCGUAGUCGCUGGUUGACUAGUCCCAGAGGAGAACAUGGCACUCGCAGUUUGGGCGUAAAACCCCACUACAUUUUCAAUCGAUCAUUUUGGCGCCGUUGCCGAGGACUAGCGUCGAGCAAUUGUGUUAGGCUAUAGACUAGGUUUUUCUUCUUUUUCUAGUUUGUGCCAUAUAUUUGUGAUAUAUCUCUAACCACUAACCCCUAUUCUAGCUAGUAUCUUUUUGUUUUCUUUUCCUUUUGCAGGUUAGAGCUAUCUACUCGGUUAUGGCAUAUUAUUCAGAUUGUCUCGGAGAUGCGAGGAACACUACAAACAACACGGAAACUAUUCAAGAACUGAUAAGUAAGAUUUCCCAUCGAUUAGAUGAUUUAGCUCGGCAGCGAGAAGUAGUUUUUGAGGAUAGGCCUAGCUCUUAUGAUCCUUAUUCUAGAGGUCAUCCUUAUGUUGCUCCUACAUGCCAUAUUUGUGGAUUUCAGGGCCAUUCACUCGCUGAAUGUCAGCGUGGUUACUCUCACUCUCCCGAUUGUUAUGGCAUGAGCCUCGCCCCACAGCCUAGCUCAUACCAAAACAAUUACUCAUAUGGGUGGCCUGAGAACCAGAAUAUUUCAUAUAGGAGCAACAACCCUGAGAUCUCACCGUUUGCUUCUAGUAAUCAUAUACAGGGAUUUAGGUUCAAUGAGGAGAGCCACAACUAUGCUCCACAACAGAUUUAUUCAGCUCCUACUCAUAUACCUCAACACCAGGAGAUGUUGCCAAUGGAGUUAAAUGGUCCUCCAUUUGGUCAACCAACAACUCCAGCAACCGCCGAGCAAUCUCAUGUGCAAGUGCCCACACAAGAUGAAUUUGAUGAUAUAGACAAGCUCACAUUGCUUAGUCUUGAGUUCACUUGGAGUGCAGAUGAUGAUCCUAUUAGGAAGGUUAUACUAGAGGAAAUGAAGAAGAUCAAGAGUGGAAAAGAGCUAGUUGAAGAAGUAAGGAAGAUUGAGAAGAACAUCAACACUGGCAACACUAUUUCUUCACAGCUUGAGCUGAGUGUUUCUGGGAUUCCCCUUGAUACAUGUGAGGUUCCAACACCUUCAUAUCCAGCCAAGGAAGAUAACAAGUGCCUUGAGGAAGAGAUAUCUCAGAUUGAAGAAGAUGAACUAGAAGACAAGGAACAAGAUGACCAAGAGCUUGAAUGCCCAAGUGAUCAAGACGAAGAUCCGUUGCCUAUCACUCCUGAAGAAGUAAAAGAAGCUCCUGUAGUUGAAGAUGAAGAACCAGAAAUUCAUUUGCCCAUUGUCAUACAAGAGUGUGAUAUAGCAGGUUUAUCUAAUCCUCUCGAUGACAUGCGUCCAUAUGAAUUGUUUGCUACUACCUUGCAUUGCAUGAUGUUAUCUGUUAAAGUAGAUUUGAAGAAGUGUUUGCUUGGAUAUGAUGAUACAUAUACUGUUGGUGGCAUUGCUCAUAUUAAUGAUGAUCACACUUAUUUUCCUCAUGCCAAACCUAUGCUUAAUGAUAAAUAUCAUCCUCAUGUUAGUAUUGAGCUUGCUGAUUCUUAUCAUACUAGCCAUGUUCUUUAUAGCUAUGCUUAUGUAAUUGGGUACUCUAUUGAUGAUUUAGAGGGCAUUACCCCUUUCACUUGUAUGGUCUCUUUUGUCGAGUGCUCUUUCAGGUUUUUGCUACUGCACCAUUCACUACAUGCUGACCAGGUUCGAGGUGACAUUCCUUGGGACCUCGAUGGAUUUAGAGCAUGGUGAAGAGGGGAAGCAAUGGGCACAUACAAGGAAGAGAAAAGCUGGAGCGUGCACGAAGAUAGAGAGCACGAGGAUAGAGAAGCAAAAGGAGAGGAGUCACGAUGCAAGAGGAUGUGAGAUGAUCGAGCGAGUUCUACUUCAUAAAGCCCGAUGAGCUGUUUCAUGACCCCAAUCUGAAUAUAUCAUCUAUUGAUACAAGCUGAAAUCAAUUGCUAGUUGGGUUGCUUGAGCCAGUUAUUACUUGUUGUCAAGCUGAAAUUCACCUUUGGCAUCGUGCUUGAUGUGAAUUUGUGAACUUGAUUUCUAGAUGCCUUGUAAACUAGUGAUCUACACCAUGUGUGCUUGGCUGAAAUUAGUGAGAACUAUUAGUUUUGGGUGCUCAAAUCUCUAGUACACUAGAAAACUUCAUCAUUUUCUGCAUUUACUAUGAUACACCUAGAUCACCAUGUUUAGAUGCUGAAUUUGUGCUAAGUGUGUUCCCAUUGAGAGCAAUCACCUAACCACUAUGGAUUAGCAUGCUAUGUUCCCUGGAUCGAUAGCAUGUGAACCAGACAUGGAGAAGUGAGGAUUCCUGUUUUUGUGCUUAUGCGUUGUUCAUUUAAAAAAAGUAAAUCUUAUAAUGAAUAAUAAGUCUGACUACCUACAGUAGCAUGUCAUGUUCCCUGGACCGGUGGCAUGUGAAAUCGGGUUAGCUUGGGCAGUAACUAAUAAUAAAAAAUAUAAUUGUCGAACCAGGUGUAUACCAUGUUCUCUGGAUCGGUGGUAUGUUCCUUUGGGGAGAAAAAAAAACCUAACUAAUAAUUGGUCGAGCCAGGUGUAUACCAUGUUCUCGGGAUCGGUGGUAUGUUCCUUUGGUGAGAUCGACAAAAUAUUAUCAUUACUUUCUUCAAAUUCAAUUAGUGCUUCAACCAUAAUGUUAUGUUCCAGGUAACAAGUUUUUUCUCGGGAUCAAGCUCUCUUUAGGAAACUUUUGGCAAAAUCAACAUUUGAACUUCUUGAUCUUCUUUUAUCAUUGUAAUAGUUUAAAAUGAUCGAGUCUACUAGUAGCCUUUUGCUUUGUAGCACUAUUAACCAUUGAUUUUCACUAGCUAAGUCCAAAGCAUGCAUUGUUUGGAGAUCUACUUCACUUGGCAUUCUCUAGUCAGCUCACUAUUCACUAUCUUGCUCUUGUCAUAUGCCUUUGCUUGAGGACAAGCAAAGAUUUAAGUGUGGGGGAACUUGAUAAGCACAUUUCAUAUAUACAAUCUGGGCACACAAAUAUACCUUUUUUGAGAUAUGACCAUCAAUUCUUGCUGUGAAAUAUUCAAUAUUUGCAUGAAAAUCAUAUAAAGAAUCAUUUACAAGUCAUUUGUUUCUUUUGCAGAAAAGUGCGCAAAGGCACUAUAAACUUCCAAGAUCUGGACUAGGUGGCUAAGAGAAUUAGUCAAGUGAAAAGAUGGGAAGGAAGAAUGGACUUGUGUGUGAUCAUAAGAAGUAACCAGUGGGGCUAGCCAAAGAAGAGAGGGAUCUACUUGGGAAGGAACAAGAAAGGAGGACGGCCAAAGUAUAAAAGUGGCAGAUCAGAUGGGGAUCAAAAUCCCUAGAUGCAUCCAUUCCCAAAUCGGGCCUGCCUACUCAUCUCUCUCCCUCACCCCUCCUUCUCCAACUCCGGCCGCCGCCACGGCCAGGCCGGCGUGGUGGUGCGCCUCUGCCACCCAUCCAUCCACCAGAACACCCACCUCCAGUUCCAUCCAUCUUCCCUCUACAUCACCCAUCUCCAUCCACCACUCCACCGCCGCACCUCGCGCCCCCGAUCAGACGAGCGUCUGGUCCUACGCGUGAGCGCUCCUCUCCGCUGCUUCUCUCUUCUCUCACCUCCCCCUGCUUCUUUCCUCCACUCCUCCAUCUCUGCGGCUUCACCUUCCUUUGCCCUGCUGCUUCUUCCCUCUCCUCAAAUCCUCCUGCUGCUAGACUUCUUCCCUGAACCUCAACUGCUACUGCACCCAUUUUGCUUCUCCUCUUGCUGCUGCUUGUGCGCUUCAGCUGCAUCUUCUUCUCCUGCCUACUACUGCUUCUUCUUCCCCACGUCACUUCUGCUACUCCUGCUCUUCUCUGCCUUGCUACUGUUCUUCUUACCUGAAUCUCAAAAAUGCUGCUGCUCUCUUUCUUUCUCUUUCUCUCACUCUUUCUAUGUGCGCGUGUUCGUGUGUGUGUAGUUGCUGAUAGUUAUUAGUGGAUGCUAGAUCAAUUACAUUCAAAUUAGUAUUAGCUCUCUAUGUGUUUGUUUGUCAGUUAGUGUAUUGUUAUGUUCUGAAAAGGUGAAACUUGUGUACUGUUCUGAACACCCAAUUUGUGUUUUAAUAUGUAUUAGUUUCUGCAAUAUAUGUGAAAUUGUGAGUUGUUGAGCUAAUCAUUUU